GCUGGGUGUGGUGGCUCACACCUGUAAUCCCAGCAGCUCCGGAGGCUGAGGCAAGAAGAUCUCGAGUUCCAAGCAGCCUCAGCCAAAGGGAGGUGCUAAGCAACUCAGUGAGACCCUGUCUCUA
RNAcentral lists this small RNA (124 nucleotides) under Marmota monax (woodchuck). Lineage: Eukaryota; Metazoa; Chordata; Mammalia; Rodentia; Sciuridae. The record is from RNAcentral.